UAAUACGGAGGGUGCGAGCGUUGUCCGGAAUCAUUGGGCGUAAAGGGCGCGUAGGUGGCCCGGUCAGUCCGUGGUGAAAGCGCGGGGCUCAACCCUGCGUCGGCCAUGGAUACUGCCGCGGCUGGAGCACUGUAGAGGCAGGCGGAAUUCCGGGUGUAGCGGUGGAAUGCGUAGAGAUCCGGAAGAACACCGGUGGCGAAGGCGGCCUGCUGGGCAGUAGCCGAAAGGC
RNAcentral lists this ribosomal RNA (229 nucleotides) under uncultured bacterium. Its description in RNAcentral is "partial 16S ribosomal RNA". It matches the Rfam family "Bacterial small subunit ribosomal RNA", at positions 521 to 746 of the family's 1533-position model. The record is from RNAcentral.